Molecule: ribosomal RNA, 175 nt
Filed under: uncultured bacterium
Lineage: Bacteria
Description: partial 16S ribosomal RNA
Rfam family: Bacterial small subunit ribosomal RNA
Source: RNAcentral
UCGGAAUUGCUAGUAAUCGCAGAUCAGCAUGCUGCGGUGAAUACGUUCCCGGGCCUUGUACACACCGCCCGUCACACCAUGGGAGUCGGUAACACCCGAAGCCUGUAGUCUAACCGCAAGGAGGACGCAGUCGAAGGUGGGAUUGAUGACUGGGGUGAAGUCGUAACAAGGUAUC